Pelobates cultripes (western spadefoot toad) is the source of this 839-nucleotide non-coding RNA. Lineage: Eukaryota; Metazoa; Chordata; Amphibia; Anura; Pelobatidae. The record is from the annotation of a GenBank genome assembly.
CUGCAAGAGAAAAUGUUCAAGUGGUGAAUUGCAUCAUUGUAGGCAAAGACUACUUUCUGUAACUUUAAAGUCUGGUUGCCUAAAGCCUCGAUCCUGGCCUUCACUUAUUUGGUGCUGUUCUUGAUUUCUUUGGCUGGGUAGCUAUGUACUUCUCAUAUCUGUUGUAAAAUUAAAGCUUCUGAUUAAAUCUUCAGCAUAUUGCCUACUUCUUUCUUAUUCUCUCUGGGUUGCCUGUGUGCUACUCUGACAUCAUGCCAUCUUGGGAGACCACCUGUGUCCACUAGAAUGUGAAUAUCAUGGGCACAAAAAUAGCUCUUUAUCUUUUCCUUUAAAAAAAAAAAAAUAACCGCUUACUCCAAAGCCUUGAUAGUAUCAGUAAGCUAUUUUAUAGGCAAUACAUUUCUAGAAAUAAGCAGCUUGUAGAAAAGAAGAGAUUUGGGAUCAAACCAUCACACAUCAUGGGUUCUAAACCACGGAUAACCUUAUUAUCAGAGUCAUAUGAUCAAUCCCUCUUUAAAUAAAGUGGGAUUAUCAUGAGCCAUCAGUUACGCAGUAACGUGGAAGAGUAUUCAAUAUUUGCCAUACCUGUGAAAACAAGGAUUGGCUUCAUGAGUACAUGCAGUAUUUGCUAAUUUUCAAAGACAUCUUGAGUUUAAAUGCUAUAAUUACCAGACUUAAAUAUACUAAUUUUAUAACCAUUUUAAGGAUGAAAGUCAGACUUUGCAAGAAACUGAAACUGUGACUCCUAGUGCUCUAUAUGAGUUAUAUUACACAUUUCUUACAGUUUGAUUUGUAUCAUUUCUAUUCUACAAGCACACUGUGAAAUUAGAAUGAAUAAU